Molecule: long non-coding RNA, 641 nt
Organism: Syzygium oleosum
Lineage: Eukaryota; Viridiplantae; Streptophyta; Magnoliopsida; Myrtales; Myrtaceae
Exons: 2
Source: RefSeq, a predicted model, not a curated record
CCGGCAUCAUUGUGUUCCAUAGAAGUCAAUAUAAUCCAUCCCUCUGCUCCACCAAACCCUAAGUAUGAAAGGGAAUGAGUCAAACCAAGCCCAACCAUGCCGUUCUCUAUAAAUACUUGAUCCUAGAACAAGAUCUCUCCACCCCUAACACUUUACCCUAAAGCAAGCAUCUGUUCACAAAGCCACUUCAUCUGUCUCCAGAUACAAUGGCAGAUCUUGAACUCUCGAAGACCAUCAAUGUGGUGGUGAUGGCAAUCUUUGUGGUGUUUUUCUUGCUCAUGUCCACUGAGUUGGCCUUUGCUGCUGUAGCCGAGGCAGUCCCAGAGCUUCAACUCGGACGUAGGCUACUCCACGAUGGCUAUAAUACCACCGGACGAGGAGGGUACAACUGAUUAAUUCCUCUGAUGAUAUCAAAUAUAAGAUGGUGAUGACUAAUAAUAAUAAUAAUAAUGUUUAUAAUAUGCCCCGGUUUGUUAUGUUAUAAUGUCUUGUAUUGGUCAUUUAUAAAUGGCCUCCCUUUGAUUAAGUAUUGGUAAUGUAUAUGCCCAUGGUAUUGGAAAAAUGACACUACUACAUUAGUGUCAUAGUUUGUGAUUGGUGUGAAUUUAGCCUCCUCGAAUCGUUGAUUAGUGAUUGCAUCA